This is a long non-coding RNA of Hibiscus syriacus, 210 nucleotides long. RefSeq lists it as uncharacterized. The record is from RefSeq and is a predicted model, not a curated record. NCBI's taxonomy places the organism in Eukaryota, Viridiplantae, Streptophyta, Magnoliopsida, Malvales, Malvaceae. The transcript is spliced from 3 exons.
CUUGCUGCUUGGAAUGCUGAUCUUAAGAGGAGGGAAAAGGAUAUAAAACGAAGGGAAGAUGUUGUUUCCCAAUUUGGUGUUUCCACAGAUGAUAAAAAUUGGCCGCCAAUUUUCCCAAUUAUACAUCAUGAUAUAGCUAAUGAGAUACCGGUUCAUGCUCAGAGACUGCAAUAUCUUGCAUUCGUAAGUUGGCUUAGUGUGUAAGUUUAU